Molecule: ribosomal RNA, 253 nt
Filed under: uncultured bacterium
Lineage: Bacteria
Description: partial 16S ribosomal RNA
Rfam family: Bacterial small subunit ribosomal RNA
Source: RNAcentral
UACAGAGGGGGCAAGCGUUGUUCGGAAUUACUGGGCGUAAAGGGCGCGUAGGCGGCUCGACAAGUCCCGCGUGAAAGCCCCCGGCUCAACUGGGGAACUGCGCGGGAAACUGUCGGACUUGAGUUCGGGAGAGGGAAGCGGAAUUCCGGGUGUAGCGGUGAAAUGCGUAGAUAUCCGGAGGAACACCGGUGGCGAAGGCGGCUUCCUGGACCGACACUGACGCUGAGGCGCGAAAGCUAGGGGAGCAAACGGG